GACACAACAAGGAACGAAAAUGGGCAUGUUCUGCUCAAGCUUGUGCCAGAUGGUUCCUUGCCCUUACUUUGGCCCGCAACCCACAACUAGCGUCGGACCGUAAACCUGGUGGUGUUAAAGCACCUCAACCUGUUCAAGGCGGUUGUGUCGAACAUGGCGACGUCAAAAUUGAAGUUGGUCGGUAUGGGUUAAUACAAGAUAAGUGAAUGAUAUACAUCAAUACAGUAAAAACCCACAUACAGUAAAAGAAUAACUAUUUUUUAUAUCAGGGUGAAGUUCUUUUAUGAUAGUAGCCUGCGCACAUUCUCAUGACAUCGAUCAAACGUUGUAAGAGACUGCGCAACAAUGAAGCAAAGCUUGCGGGAGAAAAAUAAUUUUCGCAAGAAAAUUAGUACGUUGAUUAUGCGGAAACGUUCAUAUGCAUGUCAACAGAUAGCUUAAGAUCUACGACGUCGAUGUCAGCUAGGACGUCGGGGCUGAGCAGAGGACUGGGACUAAAUAAGUCGAUAGCUCAAGUAUCUACGACGUCAAAUAUUUAGAGCGGCAAGGAGAAGUAAAUUGGUAAUAGUUUUUGAAGUGUGCAUGUGUCUCUCUCAAUUUUCGAGCCCAUCACUCUUGUGAAUCUACUCUAAUUAGUCUAAUAUUGAUC
Non-coding RNA from Paramuricea clavata, 649 nucleotides. The record is from the annotation of a GenBank genome assembly. Lineage: Eukaryota; Metazoa; Cnidaria; Anthozoa; Malacalcyonacea; Plexauridae.